Molecule: ribosomal RNA, 1014 nt
Filed under: uncultured bacterium
Lineage: Bacteria
Description: bacterial SSU rRNA
Rfam family: Bacterial small subunit ribosomal RNA
Source: RNAcentral
CUAAAUGCAAGUCGAACGGGGUAUAAGGAGGAGCAAUCCGAAUUAUACCUAGUGGCGGACGGGUGCGUAACGCGUGAACAAUCUGUCCCUCCGAGGGGGAUAACCCCUGGAAACAGGAGCUAAUACCGCAUGGGACCACGGCCUUGCAUGAGGCUGAGGUGAAAGGAGAAAUCCGCGGAGGGGUGAGUUCGCGUCCCAUUAGAUAGUUGGUGGGGUAAUGGCCUACCAAGUCAACGAUGGGUAGCCGAUCUGAGAGGAUGACCGGCCACACUGGAACUGAGAAACGGUCCAGACUCCUACGGGAGGCAGCAGUGGGGAAUAUUGGGCAAUGGGCGAAAGCCUGACCCAGCAACGCCGCGUGAGGGAAGAAGGCUUUCGGGUCGUAAACCUCUGUCGCAGGGGACGAGUAGAUGACGGUACCCUGCAAGGAAGCCCCGGCUAACUACGUGCCAGCAGCCGCGGUAAUACGUAGGGGGCAAGCGUUGUCCGGAAUGACUGGGCGUAAAGGGCGCGUAGGCGGCGCGGUAAGUUUGGAGUGAAAGUCCUGCUUUCAAGGUGGGAAUUGCUUUGAAAACCGCCGUGCUUGAGUGUGGGAGAGGAUAGCGGAAUUCCCGGUGUAGCGGUGAAAUGCGUAGAGAUCGGGAGGAACACCAGUGGCGAAGGCGGCUAUCUGGACCAAGACUGACGCUGAGGCGCGAAAGCCGUGGGUAGCAAACAGGAUUAGAUACCCUGGUAGUCCACGCUGUAAACGAUGGAUGCUAGGUGUAGGAGGUAUCGACCCCUUCUGUGCCNGAGUUAACACAAUAAGCAUCCCGCCUGGGGAGUACCGCCNNCAAGGUUGAAACUCCAAAGGAAUUGACGGGGGCCCCCCNCAAGCCAGCGGANCNUGUGGUUUANUUUCGAAACCAACGCCAAAAAACCUUACCAGGUCUUGACUUCNAGGUAAAACCCUAAAGAUCCGGNGUGCCCUUCGGGCAAUNUGAAGCAGGUGGUGCNUGGUUGUCCUCCCCUCCU